This 72-nucleotide transfer RNA is filed under the name Siphamia majimai (striped siphonfish). RNAcentral describes it as "tRNA-Val". It matches the Rfam family "tRNA". From Rfam's summary of the family: Transfer RNA (tRNA) molecules are approximately 80 nucleotides in length. Their secondary structure includes four short double-helical elements and three loops (D, anti-codon, and T loops). The record is from RNAcentral. Lineage: Eukaryota; Metazoa; Chordata; Actinopteri; Kurtiformes; Apogonidae.
CAAGGUAUAGCUUAAUAGCUUAAGGCAUCUCCCUUACACUGAGAAGACAUUCGUGCAAAUCGAUUUACCUUG